RNAcentral lists this ribosomal RNA (392 nucleotides) under uncultured bacterium. RNAcentral describes it as "bacterial SSU rRNA". It matches the Rfam family "Bacterial small subunit ribosomal RNA", at positions 524 to 916 of the family's 1533-position model. The record is from RNAcentral.
UAUAUAGGGUGUAAGCGUUAAUCGGAAUUACUGGGCGUAAAGGGUGCGCAGGCGGUACUGUAAGUCAGAUGUGAAAUCCCCGGGCUUAACCUGGGAAUUGCGUUUGAAACUGCAGAUCUAGAGUGCGGCAGAGGGAGGUGGAAUUCCAUGUGUAGCAGUGAAAUGCGUAGAGAUAUGGAAGAACAUCGAUGGCGAGGGCAACCUCCUGGGCUAGCACUGACGAUCAUGCACGAAAGCGUGGGGAGCAAACAGGAUUAGAUACCCUGGUAGUCCACGCCCUAAACUAUGUCAACUAGUUGUCGGGCCUUAUUGGGCUUGGUAACGUAGCUAACGCGUGAAGUUGACCGCCUGGGGAGUACGGUCGCAAGAUUAAAACUCAAAGGAAUUGACGG